UACGGGGGGGGCAAGCGUUGUUCGGAAUUACUGGGCGUAAAGGGCUCGUAGGCGGCCAACUAAGUCAGACGUGAAAUCCCUCGGCUUAACCGGGGAACUGCGUCUGAUACUGGAUGGCUUGAGGUUGGGAGAGGGAUGCGGAAUUCCAGGUGUAGCGGUGAAAUGCGUAGAUAUCUGGAGGAACACCGGUGGCGAAGGCGGCAUCCUGGACCAUGACUGACGCUGAGGAGCGAAAGCCAGGGGAGCAAACGGG
This 253-nucleotide ribosomal RNA is filed under the name uncultured bacterium. Its description in RNAcentral is "partial 16S ribosomal RNA". It matches the Rfam family "Bacterial small subunit ribosomal RNA", at positions 524 to 776 of the family's 1533-position model. The record is from RNAcentral.